UACGUAGGUGGCAAGCGUUGUCCGGAUUUAUUGGGUUUAAAGGGUGCGUAGGUGGUCUAUUAAGUCAGUGCUGAAAUAUCCCAGCUUAACUGGGAGGGUGGCAUUGAUACUGAUGGACUUGAGUAAAGUUGAGGUGGGCGGAAUUGACGGUGUAGCGGUGAAAUGCUUAGAUAUCGUCAAGAACACCUAUUGCGAAGGCAGCUCACUAAGCUUUAACUGACACUGAGGCACGAAAGUGUGGGGAUCAAACAGG
RNAcentral lists this ribosomal RNA (253 nucleotides) under uncultured bacterium. Its description in RNAcentral is "partial 16S ribosomal RNA". It matches the Rfam family "Bacterial small subunit ribosomal RNA", at positions 524 to 776 of the family's 1533-position model. The record is from RNAcentral.